GGUGGUCUAUCACAGGGGAUGACUUCUGAACUUGGCUUUGAGGAUGAAGGAGAAGAAAGCUUUUCAGAUUAAAGGAACAACGUCAAGAAAAGACAUGGGGCCUUGAAAGAAGAUACUGAAUUUGCAAUACUUCUUAAAGGUAGCUCACCUGACUCUCCAACCAGACUCUCUUCAUUAUGCCCUUAUACAGAGAAGGUACCUGUAUGCAUUUAUUGAUUGCCUGCUGGGAGAUUAGCUGAUGCCAUUCCCAUCACCAUGACAAUCAAGUGGGUUUCAGCAGCUAAUCCUAUAUUUGGGACUUGCAGACCUAUUUUCAGAUGCAAGCACUGAAUCAGAAAAGUAGAAUUGGAAAAGCUUAGGGAUGGUCUUCUCUAGAGCUUCCAAACUUGUCUUUAGUAAUGAAAAUCUUUUUUCAGACAAUAUUUUCAAUGUACCAUAGGUAGGCAUGUAUUCCUUGGUAUUUUGUCUCUUUGAUAAAAUAUACCUAAAUUUUAUUUGAGAAACUACCCUUUUCACAUAUAGUAUGUAGGAUUGACCCCAACCACCAGCUCUAAUUUGGGUCAGUAAUUGGUUUAAGCCAUGCAUCAGGUUGUAUUUCUCUGGAACCAUGAUUGCUUUAGGGUAGGCAAGUGAUCUCUGCUGAUUCAACCAGAUUGAUCCUCAAAGAAUUGCCUGGAACUACUGGACUAGAACAGCUUCACUGGUUGAGAUGAUGAAGAUGUGAAGGCUGGAACUGCCAGGAGCCAUGGCUGCUACCAUUAGCAGUUCUAGCCUGAGGCCAAAGCUAGCACAGAAGGCAGAUCCAUGAGAAAUAUAAAGAAAUGAGCCUCUAAUGUAAAUAUAGUUAACCUGCUGGAUCAAGCUGUUUCCUAAGCUAGUUGCCUCUGGCCUUCUUAGUUAAGUAAAUACAUAGAUUAUCUUUUAUGCUUCACCCAGUUUGAGUGGGAUUUUCUGUUAGUUGCAAAUGAAAGCAUUUUUAAAGAAUCCAAAACCCCAUGAUAAGACAUAGAUAAAACCAGGUUCUCCCAGUUAAAGUGAUGGUAAGAAACUUAAGAGUCUCACCCACAAUGUACUUUCAAUUUCUAAAAUGUGGCGCAGAUGAACUUUACUAUCUAGUUUAAUUCUUUUAUUUUACAAAUGGCCAAACCAUGAUUCAAAGUGAAUAUUAAAAUAUUGGCAAUACACGUGAAGGAAUACAAACAUGGGUACAAGUAUAUUUUUUAAAAAAAGCAGAUUUCAGAAAAUUGGACAGGAUGAAGGGUUGCAGUUUAAAAAUUAGGAAGCUUUUAUCUAGAGAAAUCCCAAUUAUGCAGGAUUCAAAAUAACAUGAAAUAAGCCAUCAGUAAUUACAAUAUAGUCACUUAUGUAGUGUAAGCAUGUUCCACAAUGUCUAUAAAAAGUAUUAACAGUUAUUGUCCUAUAGAUAGUUGAUCAUGCUUAAAAACUGCAUUAAAGUACUGUUUGCUACUUUGACCAUGCUUAUAAACUUCUAAACUUGCCACAGAAAUUUCUGGUAUGUUCUAUUAAAAAUACACUUUUCCUAGGGAGGGGCUGGUUUUAUAUUAUGCCAUUCAUUUUACCUGUUAUUUCAACUGUACACAGCUUUACACUGUGAUGCAUUACCCUGUAACCUCAGCUUUCUCUCUGGCAGACAUCAGUGUCGCAGGGUAUAUUCUUAUGACAAAAUAAAAGAAAUUCAACAGACAGAUCAAAAUUUGGGACACAAUAUAAAAGGCACAUGGUAGACCGUUUUGCGAUGGUCAACUUGUAAAACAUCAUGAUCCACAGAGGUCAGAAGACUAACCAAAUUUACAUAACUGGUCAAAGAGAAGGGAAAGUAGAAAAUGUGUAUGAAUAUAUAAUCAAUAAACGAGUCAUUUAUUCUCAGUUUAAAUAAAGUUAUCUUCAGAGAGGUGCUAAAUCCACAAACCACAUUGCCUUCAUUCUUUUUUUCCAGUGAAUAAAAAAGAAAAACAUUUCAGUAGUUAGAUGAACAGAUUUUAAACUAAAAUUUCAAAGAGCAUUUUUUUAUUGUGUCUCUUAUCUAAAGAUCAGUCAUUACAUGACCCCUUUCCAAAGUUUAAGAAGUGUUUUAUAGAAAUGUGUCUGAUUAAAAGCUUGGUACUCAAUACAAAAAUGUUUUUAUCCUUCUGGUUGAUGGAAUGGAAGUCGUACAUGUAAUAAUGAGGCAGAAUAAGUUCUGAAGGCAGGCAACCUCAGGCUGAUUCAAACUUACUUCCUAGAACUAAAGCAAAAGGAAAACCUCAACUUUCCAUGCCCAAGUAACAAAAGAACCAGAGGCUACUCCCUUUGCAACCCCCAGUUUUCUGUGCGACAGAUGAAAAACUAAAAGUACCUCUGAUUGGUCCCUUCCCACAACCAAUCAGGCUGGCUGCGGGCCAAGUCUUCCUUUGUAUAGGAGUAUAACUUUGUAACUUCAGGUUAGCCUCUGAUUGGUCGUUUUUCACGACCAAUCAGACGUUUGCAUAUGGUGUAACUUUGUAACUUUGCUUCGGGCUCUGAUUGGUUCCCUACCUCAACCAAUCAGACUGAUUAUGGGCCACUACUUCAUUUACAUAGGGGGUACACAAAGUAACCAAUAGGACAUCAAUGGGACACCUCUAGAGAGUAUUUAAACCUCAGAAAACUCUGUAAUUGGGCCCUUGAGCCUCUUGCUUGGGCCACUCCUACCCUGUGGAGUGUGUUUCCCUUUUCAAUCUCUGCUUUUAUUGCUUCAUUCUUUCCUUGCUUUGUUUAUGCAUUUUGUCCAAUUCUUUGUUCAAGGUGCUAGGAACCUGGACACCCUCCACCUGGACACCAUCUACUAAACAAUAACUCAUAAAUUCUGGUUAAAAGGAGAAACAAUUAUGAAAUUUUGGUUAAAGAUAAAUAAUUAAAAAAUAAUUAUUUUGUAUUGUUCUUGGUGACCCAUAUGAAC
RNAcentral lists this long non-coding RNA (2938 nucleotides) under Homo sapiens (human). Its description in RNAcentral is "HSALNT0143599". The record is from RNAcentral. Lineage: Eukaryota; Metazoa; Chordata; Mammalia; Primates; Hominidae.